UUGCACGCUGGCGGCAGGCCUAACCCCUGCCAGUCGAGCGGAUGAAGGGAGCUUGCUCCUGGAUUCAGCGGCGGACGGGUGAGUAAUGCCUAGGAAUCUGCCUGGUAGUGGGGGAUAACGUCCGGAAACGGGCGCUAAUACCGCAUACGUCCUGAGGGGGAAAGGGGGGGAUCUUCGGACCUCACGCUAUCAGAUGAGCCUAGGUCGGAUUAGCUAGUUGGUGGGGUAAAGGCCUACCAAGGCGACGAUCCGUAACUGGUCUGAGAGGAUGAUCAGUCACACUGGAACUGAGACACGGUCCAGACUCCUACGGGAGGCAGCAGUGGGGAAUAUUGGACAAUGGGCGAAAGCCUGAUCCAGCCAUGCCGCGUGUGUGAAGAAGGUCUUCGGAUUGUAAAGCACUUUAAGUUGGGAGGAAGGGCAGUAAGUUAAUACCUUGCUGUUUUGACGUUACCAACAGAAUAAGCACCGGCUAACUUCGUG
Molecule: ribosomal RNA, 483 nt
Filed under: uncultured bacterium
Lineage: Bacteria
Description: partial 16S ribosomal RNA
Rfam family: Bacterial small subunit ribosomal RNA
Source: RNAcentral